UGGGUUGCUCAGUCCUGUCCUGGUUGUCUGUCAUCCUGUGUGUUGUCACUCUGGCCUUGACCUAACACACCUGAAACCAGUAAUGAAUGUUUCCCUAAGACCCUAAAGCUGAGUGGGAUGUGUUGUGUUGGGGCUCUGCAGGGCAGUGGACACAUAGAGACAGAACAGGGAGACCAGCUAUAUUGUAUGGAAGUAAAAAGAGCUCUACAGUACUAUUAGGUCAUAUGAGAUGAAUCAUGCUUUUUCUGUGUUAAUGUAUGUUUGGGUGUUUCCAAACCUUUCCCUUUUGAUAAAAACAUAAACAAAAGGUAGGAAGGACAUUAUUUUGGAAAGAGUUGAAUUAUGUACUAGACUGGUUGGGGUCAGGGAGAGAGUUGAGUUAUGUACUAGACUGGUUGGGGUCAGGGAGAGAGUUGAAUUAUGUACUAGACUGGUGGGGGUCAGGGAGAGAGUUGAGUUAUAUACUAGACUGGUGGGGGUCAGGGAGAGAGUUGAGUUGAGUUAUGUACUAGACUGGUGGGGGUCAGGGAGAGAGUUAUGUUCUAGACUGGUUGGGGUCAGGGAGAGAGUUAUGUACUAGACUGGUGGGGGUCAGGGAGAGAGUUGAGUUUUAUACUAGACUGGUGGGGGUCAGGGAGAGAGUUGAGUUAUGUACUAGACUGGUUGGGGUCAGGGAAAGAGUUGAGUUAUGUACUAGACUGGUGGGGGUCAGGGAGAGAGUUGAGUUAUGUACUAGACCGGUGGUGGUCGGGGAGAGAGUUGAGUUAUGUACUAGACUGGUGGGGGUUGGAUAGAGAGUUGAGUUAUGUACUAGAUUGGUGGGGUUCAGGGAGAGAGUUGAGUUAUGUACUAGACUGGUGGGGGUCAGGGAGAGAGUUGAGUUAUGUUCUAGACUGGUGGGGGUCAGGGGGAGAGUUGAGUUAUGUUCUAGACUGGUGGGGGUCAGCAAGAGAGGUGAGUUAUGUACUAGACUGGUGGGGGUCAGGGAGAGAGUUAUGUACUAGACUGGUGGGGGUCAGGGAGAGAGUUGAGUUAUGUUCUAGACUGGUGGGGGUCAGGGAGAGAGUUGAGUUAUGUUAUAGACUGGUGGGGGUCAGGGAGAGAGUUGAUUUAUGUACUAGACUGGUGGGGGUUGGAUAGAUAGUUGAGUUAUGUACUAGACUGGUGGGGGUCAGGGAGAGAGUUGAGUUAUAUUCUAGACUGCUGGGGGUCAGGGAGAGAGUUAUGUACUAGACUGGUGGGGGUCAGGGAGAGAGUUAUGUACUAGACUGGUGGGGGUCAGAGAGAGAGUUGAGUUAUGUUCUAGACUGGUGGGGGUCAGGGAGAGAGUUGAGUUAUGUUCUAGACUGGUGGGGGUCAGGGAGAGAGUUGAGUUAUGUACUAGACUGGUGGGGGUCAGGGAGAGAGUUGAGUUAUGUACUAGACCGGUGGUGGUCGGGGAGAGAGUUGAGUUAUGUACUAGAAUGGUGGGGGUCAGGGAGAGAGUUGAGUUAUGUUCUAGACUGGUGGGGGUCAGGGAGAGAGUUAUGUACUAGACUGGUACGGGUCAGGGAGAGAGUUGAUUUAUGUACUAGACUGGUGGGGGUUGGAUAGAUAGUUGAGUUAUGUUCUAGACUGGUUGGGGUCAGCGAGAGAGUUGAGUUAUGUUCUAGACUUGUGGGGGUCAGGGAGAGAGUAGCGUUAUGUUUUAGACUGGUG
RNAcentral lists this long non-coding RNA (1698 nucleotides) under Salmo salar (Atlantic salmon). RNAcentral describes it as "lncRNA (ENSSSAG00000118127.1)". The record is from RNAcentral. Lineage: Eukaryota; Metazoa; Chordata; Actinopteri; Salmoniformes; Salmonidae.